AUGGUUUAGUGAGGUCUUCGGACCGGCGGUAAGCGGGACCGUCUUCGUGUCGGUCUUGCCGAACGCUGGGAAGAUGACCAAACUUGAGCAUUUAGGGGAAGCAAAAGUCGUAACAAGGUUUCCGUAGGUGAACCUGCGGAAGGAUCAUUA
RNAcentral lists this ribosomal RNA (150 nucleotides) under Orius tantillus. RNAcentral's name for it is "partial 18S ribosomal RNA". It matches the Rfam family "Eukaryotic small subunit ribosomal RNA", at positions 1693 to 1831 of the family's 1831-position model. The record is from RNAcentral. Lineage: Eukaryota; Metazoa; Arthropoda; Insecta; Hemiptera; Anthocoridae.